GGAGAGGUGGCCGAGUGGCUUAAGGCGCUCGCCUGCUAAGCGAGUUGGGGCUAGCGCCCCUCGCGGGUUCGAAUCCCGUCCUCUCCGCCA
RNAcentral lists this transfer RNA (90 nucleotides) under Alphaproteobacteria bacterium. RNAcentral's name for it is "tRNA-Ser". It matches the Rfam family "tRNA". Rfam says of the family: Transfer RNA (tRNA) molecules are approximately 80 nucleotides in length. Lineage: Bacteria; Pseudomonadati; Pseudomonadota; Alphaproteobacteria. The record is from RNAcentral.